CAGGGUAUAGACCCGAAACCCGGUGAUCUAGCCAUGGGCAGGUUGAAGGUUGGGUAACACUAACUGGAGGACUGAACCGACUAAUGUUGAAAAAUUAGCGGAUGACUUGUGGCUGGGGGUGAAAGGCCAAUCAAACCGGGAGAUAGCUGGUUCUCCCCGAAAGCUAUUUAGGUAGCGCCUCGUGAAUUCAUCUCCGGGGGUAGAGCACUGUUUCGGCAAGGGGGUCAUCCCGACUUACCAACCCGAUGCAAACUGCGAAUACCGGAGAAUGUUAUCACGGGAGACACACGGCGGGUGCUAACGUCCGUCGUGAAGAGGGAAACAACCCAGACCGCCAGCUAAGGUCCCAAAGUCAUGGUUAAGUGGGAAACGAUGUGGGAAGGCCCAGACAGCCAGGAUGUUGGCUUAGAAGCAGCCAUCAUUUAAAGAAAGCGUAAUAGCUCACUGGUCGAGUCGGCCUGCGCGGAAGAUGUAACGGGGCUAAACCAUGCACCGAAGCUGCGGCAGCGACGCUGAUGCGUUGUUGGGUAGGGGAGCGUUCUGUAAGCCUGCGAAGGUGUGCUGUGAGGCAUGCUGGAGGUAUCAGAAGUGCGAAUGCUGACAUAAGUAACGAUAAAGCGGGUGAAAAGCCCGCUCGCCGGAAGACCAAGGGUUCCUGUCCAACGUUAAUCGGGGCAGGGUGAGUCGACCCCUAAGGCGAGGCCGAAAGGCGUAGUCGAUGGGAAACAGGUUAAUAUUCCUGUACUUGGUGUUACUGCGAAGGGGGGACGGAGAAGGCUAUGUUGGCCGGGCGACGGUUGUCCCGGUUUAAGCGUGUAGGCUGGUUUUCCAGGCAAAUCCGGAAAAUCAAGGCUGAGGCGUGAUGACGAGGCACUACGGUGCUGAAGCAACAAAUGCCCUGCUUCCAGGAAAAGCCUCUAAGCAUCAGGUAACAUCAAAUCGUACCCCAAACCGACACAGGUGGUCAGGUAGAGAAUACCAAGGCGCUUGAGAGAACUCGGGUGAAGGAACUAGGCAAAAUGGUGCCGUAACUUCGGGAGAAGGCACGCUGAUAUGUAGGUGAGGUCCCUCGCGGAUGGAGCUGAAAUCAGUCGAAGAUACCA
This 1103-nucleotide ribosomal RNA is filed under the name Listeria monocytogenes. RNAcentral describes it as "partial 23S ribosomal RNA". It matches the Rfam family "Bacterial large subunit ribosomal RNA", at positions 703 to 1788 of the family's 2925-position model. The record is from RNAcentral. Lineage: Bacteria; Bacillati; Bacillota; Bacilli; Caryophanales; Listeriaceae.